UACACUCCUACGGGAGGCAACAGUGGGGAAUAUUGGACAAUGGGCGCAAGCCUGAUCCAGCCAUGCCGCGUGAGUGAUGAAGGCCCUAGGGUUGUAAAGCUCUUUCACCGGUGAAGAUAAUGACGGUAACCGGAGAAGAAGCCCCGGCUAACUUCGUGCCAGCAGCCGCGGUAAUACGAAGGGGGCUAGCGUUGUUCGGAUUUACUGGGCGUAAAGCGCACGUAGGCGGACUAUUAAGUCAGGGGUGAAAUCCCGGGGCUCAACCCCGGAACUGCCUUUGAUACUGGUAGUCUUGAGUUCGAGAGAGGUGAGUGGAAUUCCGAGUGUAGAGGUGAAAUUCGUAGAUAUUCGGAGGAACACCAGUGGCGAAGGCGGCUCACUGGCUCGAUACUGACGCUGAGGUGCGAAAGCGUGGGGAGCAAACAGGAUUAGAAACCCCGGUAGUCC
Molecule: ribosomal RNA, 447 nt
Filed under: uncultured organism
Description: partial 16S ribosomal RNA
Rfam family: Bacterial small subunit ribosomal RNA
Source: RNAcentral